This 363-nucleotide ribosomal RNA is filed under the name uncultured bacterium. Its description in RNAcentral is "bacterial SSU rRNA". It matches the Rfam family "Bacterial small subunit ribosomal RNA", at positions 30 to 393 of the family's 1533-position model. The record is from RNAcentral.
AUUGAACGCUGGCGGCAGGCUUAACACAUGCAAGUCGAGCGGGGGAAGGUAGCUUGCUACCGGACCUAGCGGCGGACGGGUGAGUAAUGCUUAGGAAUCUGCCUAUUAGUGGGGGACAACAUCUCGAAAGGGAUGCUAAUACCGCAUACGUCCUACGGGAGAAAGCAGGGGAUCUUCGGACCUUGCGCUAAUAGAUGAGCCUAAGUCGGAUUAGCUAGUUGGUGGGGUAAAGGCCUACCAAGGCGACGAUCUGUAGCGGGUCUGAGAGGAUGAUCCGCCACAUUGGGACUGAGACACGGCCCAGACUCCUACGGGAGGCAGCAGUGGGGAAUAUUGGACAAUGGGGGGAACCCUGAUCCAGCC